CCUCCCCCGGUCGGAUCGGCCCGAGCCUCCCGCACCGACGCCGCCGCCCUUUGCCGCCGCCGCCGCCGUUGGCCGUCGGCGUUCGCCUCCUCCGGGCCAGCUCUACCCAGAUCUGGGCCGCCGCAGCGCCACCCCCUCCGGCCCCGGCCCUUUCCUCGCCCUGUGGCCGCCGGUCCCGCUCGACGAUCUCCUCUUCUUCCACCCGGUCCCGCCUGCCGCCGCCGCCACGUCGGCCAGCCCAGACCAGCUCUGCGGCACCAGGGACUUGCUGCUGCUCAAGCGCUCCUACUCCUUCGGCUUCGAGCGCAGCCUCGCCAUGGAGGCCGCGUCCACGGCCUCCCCUCCCUGGCGCUACCGCGUCUCCUCCGGCGCGCGGCGGCGGCGGUGAUGGAGCCACCUCCCGCGGCCGCAGCUUCUGGAGCAAGCGCUGGCCAUCCCCGUUCGACGGGGGCAGGGGCUCCGCGGCCGCCGUCCGCGUCUUCUCCUUCCGCUCCUACUGCUCCGCGGCGGGCAAGUCAACCCCCUCCUGCCGCCGCGGCCACGGCGGGGCCGGGAGCGGGUUCUUCAUGGCGCUGGCGUCGGAGAUGCCCUCGAUCCUGGCCGCGGCGAGGCGGGGCCGCGCGGCCGCCGUGUCCAGCCGGCUCCGGUGUGAGGACCCCGGGGCGCUGUUUUCCUGUUUUAUUUGUGGUCAGAGUUUUUUUAUUAGAUCUGAAAUUAAAAAAAAUGGACCGGCGGUGACCUCAGAACUCCAACUGUUUUAAAACCUCCCAAGAGUACACAGGUUGAUAUAAGGGCAUACAGGUUAAAAACUUUCCAGUGCAACAUUUCCUCUGCAUAUGGGUAAAAUUUGUCUUUUCCCAUCUCCGUUAGCCACCGUUAGUGCUAAUUCUGUCCAAAAAGAUACAGAGGUAAAGAUAAGUUGACGGUAAGACAUACAGGUGCGACUGAAAAAAAAUAGAGGUAUAGGUGGGAAGGCAAGCGGGCUACCACCAGAUGUACCUGCCAGCAGAGGCUACCAGAUCCGAUUCAAAUAUAACGAGUGACUUGCGCCAAGGCGCGCGUAA
Panicum virgatum (switchgrass) is the source of this 1064-nucleotide long non-coding RNA. RefSeq lists it as uncharacterized. The transcript has 2 exons. The record is from RefSeq and is a predicted model, not a curated record. Lineage: Eukaryota; Viridiplantae; Streptophyta; Magnoliopsida; Poales; Poaceae.